UGAAAAUUGUCACAGUUUUCUCUUUCUAAUUUAGGUCUCUUCCAGAGAGACCUAUAUAUUAAAAGGUGCUGUUUCUUCACUUUAUUCCUUGGCAACAAUGAAUUAUGCAUAAAGUAAAAACAUUGCCUCUCAGGAAGUAAAGCCAUCAGAAGAUGUCUCAGAACAGCUUGAAAUCUUUGGAAUAGCUUUUUUUUUUUUUCAACUGCAAUAAAAUCAGUGCAGUUCAGAAAACUCGACCUUUCAGUAUCCGAGAAGGCAGCUUUGUAAGCACUUUCUGUUCGAGGAACUUUGUUAAGCAGCUGAGGGGAAUCUGACCCAGCUCCUGUGUUGUCUGGUGUAGACAGGGCACCAGACUGGGAGUCAAGUGGCCUGGGUGCUUCUUCACUGCCACCAGCACUUCCUAAUAAUGGCAAAUUUACAUUUUGUUACGGUGCUCACAGCUUACAAAACACAUACAUGUGCAUCAUCACAGUUUGUUCACCUGUAAGAUGAAAGGGUUGGAUUCUUUGUUUUCUGUGGUCUUUUCCAGUUCUAGUGCCUUGCUAGUCUGAUAGUGUGAAUUAUUUUUUAUUACAGCUGGCGCUGCUGCUGCAUCAGGGCCAUCCUUUCUGCAAGACACAAUGACCACAGCAAAGAGCGGGAAAGAUAACUUUCCACGACAUCGCCACAUUGUUUGACGUCCUUUCAUCAAAUCACUGUAUGCUAUUAAAAGUCACCGUGUAACUGGAGUUACAUUAUUCACAGAGGCCAUUAAGACUUCUCUUAUUAGACAAUAUAACUUUUGUGACAGAAAUAGGCUGCACAGAUCUCUAAGAUAAAAUUCACGUUAUUGCACAUUUUGUUUCUCCAGUCAGGUCUUCAACACGUAAGAUAUGAUUACAACAUUAAGGCUUUGUACAGCAUGAGGUAAAAUAUCAGGAAGAAUCUUGAUGUGAGCCACACCUCUUUUAGAGUGAGAAAAAAAAAUUUUUUUUUUUGUCAAUUGUACAGAAGAGGACACAAUCUGAUAUAUUUUACAACUGAUAAAUGACAUUGGAAGAGUACAGGUUGUCAAGACAUGCUGGAAAAUAUAUUCACUUUUCAGCAAGUAACUAGACACAUGGUCAAACAAAGCCUUAAGAAAUCUG
Molecule: long non-coding RNA, 1127 nt
Filed under: Homo sapiens (human)
Lineage: Eukaryota; Metazoa; Chordata; Mammalia; Primates; Hominidae
Description: HSALNT0165914
Source: RNAcentral